This 497-nucleotide ribosomal RNA is filed under the name uncultured bacterium. Its description in RNAcentral is "partial 16S ribosomal RNA". It matches the Rfam family "Bacterial small subunit ribosomal RNA", at positions 28 to 507 of the family's 1533-position model. The record is from RNAcentral.
GAUGAACGCUGGCGGCGUGCCUAAUACAUGCAAGUCCAGCGAACGGACUAGAAGCUUGCUUCUCUGAUGUUAGCGGCGGACGGGUGAGUAACACGUGGAUAACCUACCUAUAAGACUGGGAUAACUUCGGGAAACCGGAGCUAAUACCGGAUAAUAUUUUGAACCGCAUGGUUCAAAAGUGAAAGACGGUCUUGCUGUCACUUAUAGAUGGAUCCGCGCUGCAUUAGCUAGUUGGUAAGGUAACGGCUUACCAAGGCAACGAUGCAUAGCCGACCUGAGAGGGUGAACGGCCACACUGGAACUGAGACACGGUCCAGACUCCUACGGGAGGCAGCAGUAGGGAAUCUUCCGCAAUGGGCGAAAGCCUGACGGAGCAACGCAGCGUGAGUGAUGAAGGUCUUCGGAUCGUAAAACUCUGUUAUUAGGGAAGAACAUAUGUGUAAGUAACUGUGCACAUCUUGACGGUACCUAAUCAGAAAGCCACGGCUAACUACGUG